Long non-coding RNA from Mus musculus (house mouse), 1883 nucleotides. RefSeq annotates it as predicted gene, 33687. NCBI's taxonomy places the organism in Eukaryota, Metazoa, Chordata, Mammalia, Rodentia, Muridae. The transcript has 3 exons. The record is from RefSeq and is a predicted model, not a curated record.
AGAAGGAUUAGGGCAGGCUGUCAGGAGUUCGUCCUCACAGCACAUAACAACAGUCUCUUGCAAAAGACCAAGCAUGAAAGAAGCCAGCAUCUGCCUAGGGACAUCAAGAAUAAACAACAAAUAUAGCGCUUGGAUGCCUUGGGCCUGAAGCUAAAAUUGCCACAAAUAUCUUGACCAUGGAGGCUUGCUCUUCUCUCGUACUUGGGUUAUUUUUAGUUGGUUUCUUCUACCUACACCCUGGCUCUCACUAUAUAACUCUCUCUAAAUGAGGUAAGGGAUAAAAAGCUAUUUCUAAAUAUCUGUCUGUGGAAUCAAACCGUCCCUUGGAGGCCUGCCUUGCGCUGCUGCUGACUUACAGAUGGGACACAAAGACUUCUGAGGAGCCUGGCACAGGUCACGUGAGUACUCUGGUUUUACAACCUGCACGGCUUUCACAGCUAGCACAGGAAAGCAAAGGCCAGCGAAGUGUGCUCGUGAGAGACUGGAUGACACUGUUUCCAAACAUUUCCGACUCAGGAGGCAGCCAGGCUUCUGGUUUACAAGAUCCAUCUCAAGACUAGAAGUGACAAAGGAUCUGUGAUGUGACUAUAACAGGGCCGAGCAGCCAGCUGAUGCUCUUGGCGUCUCAAUUCACGGUGAAAGACCCGAUUCAAGGGACACAGGUGUCCUCAUCCUUUCUCUACUGUCAACAUGCAAGGUUUCAGAAGCUGUGAGUGACUCCAAGAUUCUGCUGAGAACGCCCUUGCCUGUAGCUCCCUGAUACUGUUGGAACCUUCUUCUCACAUCUCUACCCUCAGGCCUUUUCCUGGGCUUUGCGUAGGCAGCUAAAAUAAGCUUCUGCUUCUAAACUACUCGAGCCCAGCUGGCACAAUACCGCAACAGAGGAACUGGAUUGGGUGGGGUGCAGGGAAAGGAAGUAUACGGCAAAACCUUCCUUCUCCGAAAGCGCUUGGCAGGAGCCCACGGUUCCGGUUUAUCCUGACAAUUCCAGAUCAAGAGUAAUACGACUGGAUGUGUAGAAAGCCUUAGAAACAUACUUUUGUUAUUUCAUCAAAACAUUCCUGGGGAGCAGGAAUAUUGUUGAGGCAGGCUAUGUGUCAUUAUUGGCAUCGAGGGAGAAAAGGAGAGAGUUGGUCUGGCUCAGAGGCUGGAGCUCCUGUCACAGGUAGAAAUGACAUUUGCAUGGCUCCAGAGACAACAGAUGUUCACUGGCCAUUUGCUGGGCACAAAACCAGGGGACCUCUGCCUGUCUUCUCCACUGGCUCUAAGCGUUAGGCAAACGACACUCAGAGGAGACAGGAAGAUGAACUCUGGCUGCUGGGAAGCAGGACCAAGAGGGAGCAAAUGGCUAAGAAGCCCGCAGGACACUCACAAGGCUUAGUAGCACGUCUUGCAAGAGAUGUCAACAGCCAGGCGGUGCUCUUGUGGGAUCUGGACACAAACUGAGGUCUUCCCAUAGAAGUUCAUCCUUGUGGAAUGGCAGAUUCCAUUUCUGGUGGGUUUUCAAGAGAUUAUAGAGUCUAUGUUUUCUAGUCCCUCCCCCUUUCUCCAUAGUGUGUGUGUUUCUGUCUCUUUCUUUCUCUAUACAUCACCCUAAUGAUAGGGAUUGAGCCCAGAGCCUUUUGUAUGUUAGGUAAGCAUUCCACCCCUGAUCUACCAUCCUAGCCCUAGAUUUCAUUCUUGAAAAAAACAAAAAACAAAAAAACAACCACAAAAAAAAACAGUGUGUUUGUGAUCCUGUGCCUUCCAUUCCCAUUCAUAAAUACCUACAGAAAAUAAACUGUAUCUUACUAGUAUGGGUUGUCUUCUCCCUAGUUUAGACAUGUUGAAGUCUAAAGUCCUAUCUAUAAUUCAGGAUGUGGCUAUAUUUUUCUUUUGUUUUU